This 786-nucleotide ribosomal RNA is filed under the name uncultured bacterium. RNAcentral describes it as "bacterial SSU rRNA". It matches the Rfam family "Bacterial small subunit ribosomal RNA", at positions 62 to 875 of the family's 1533-position model. The record is from RNAcentral.
UCGAACGCUCUCUCGCAAGAGAGGGAGUGGCGGACGGGUGAGUACCACGUGGAUGACCUUCCCUGAGGUGAGGAAUACCGACGAGAAAUCGUCGACAAUACCGCAUAGGCUCGGCAACGAGCAAAGCUUCGCGCAAGCGAGGCGCCACAGGAUGGGUCCGCGCCCGAUUAGCUCGUUGGUGGGGUAAAGGCCUACCAAGGCGACGAUCGGUAGCUGGUCUGAGAGGAUGAGCAGCCACACUGGGAUUGAGAACGGCCCAGACUCCUACGGGAGGCAGCAGUGAGGAAUUUUCCGCAAUGGGCGCAAGCCUGACGGAGCAACGCCGCGUGCAGGAUGACGGUCUUCGGAUCGUAAACUGCUUUUCCUAGGGAAGAGAACGGACGGUACCUGGGGAAGAAGCCUCGGCUAACUACGUGCCAGCAGCCGCGGUAAGACGUAGGAGGCAAGCGUUAUCCGGAGUUACUGGGCGUAAAGCGCACGCAGGCGGUCCGCCGCGUUUGAGGUCACAGCUCCCAGCUUCACUGGGAGAGCGCCUUGAAGACGGGCGGACUCAGAGGACCAGAGAGGGACAGAGAAUUCCGGGUGGAGCGGUGAAAUGCGUAGAGAUCCGGAGGAAUACCGAAGGCGAAGGCCCUGUCCUGGCUGGCUCCUGACGCUAAUGUGCGAAAGCUAGGGGAGCGAACGGGAUUAGAUACCCCGGUAGUCCUAGCCGUAAACGAUGACCACUAGACGUGGGAGGGAUCGACCCCUUCUGUGUCGCAGCUAACGCGAGAAGUGGUCCGCCUG